GGGCGAAUGGUUUAGGGGUAUAACGUUCGCUUCGCACUGUGCCACAAGCACGACGUCGAUUGCGAAAGGUCCGGGGUUCGAUUCCCCGUUUGUCCA
This is a transfer RNA of 96 nucleotides. It matches the Rfam family "tRNA". From Rfam's summary of the family: Transfer RNA (tRNA) molecules are approximately 80 nucleotides in length. Their secondary structure includes four short double-helical elements and three loops (D, anti-codon, and T loops). The record is from Rfam.